RNA transcript from Symphalangus syndactylus (siamang), 4131 nucleotides. RefSeq lists it as uncharacterized. The record is from RefSeq and is a predicted model, not a curated record. NCBI's taxonomy places the organism in Eukaryota, Metazoa, Chordata, Mammalia, Primates, Hylobatidae.
GUUUGUUCUUCAGACUUUGCUGCUCGCCCAUUGCCUGGAUCGGGGGCUACUUUGUAAACCACCAGGAAGACUCCAGUGUUUCUGCUUAAUUUUUAGAUGUUUGUUAAUUGCUCUUGGCCUCUCAUUAAUCCCCUGUGGGUCAUCCAGGAAACAUAGUCACCACUGUCUGUUCUCUGAGUUUUCAUUUCCAGGCAUCUGCCCUGCCUGGAUCUCCUCACCUGCCAGGAACUUCCUCUCCACGAGCCGGCCAUCCCAGCAAAAGUUCUAACACCAAAGGUCUGGCAACUAGCCUGCCAUCUUGUGCCUGGAGCCGCCUGCGUGCCACCUACCCCCAAAGAUGGGAACCUCGUUGCCAGUUGGGCAGAUGCAGGGCAAUCCUGUACCAAGCCCCCAUUUUACCACCUGCUUUCUCAGACCACUCUGGAACCCACUGUCUCAGAUUGGGUCCUCCAGGAAGCAGACCGUGAGAGGGAGCUGGCAGGGCCAAAGGUUUACUGGGGCUAACUAACACUCAGGAAAGGGACAGGAAGGAAGCAGGGCUGGAGAGCAGGUUGAGCCCGACCUGACAGUCUCGAGCAGCCCAACAGGGAGGUGUGGAGCAAGGGUUGCCCACUAGAGGGGCCUGCAUUGGGUACGGGUGGUGGGGUCCACAUGGUACCUGGCACAUAGCAGGCUGUGCAAUCCAUAUUAAGUGACUGGAAAAAUUAAUGCCCAGAAAAGGUGCCUUGGAGAAUGGGUGCGUGCUGAACACAAUAGGGAAGGGCCCAGCAUCUGUCUUGGCAUAGGCAGAACUGUGCUGUGCCCUGCAACAUGCCACCUGAGAGCUGCUUUGAUCUUGUGUGUGCAUUAGACAACUGCCAGGGGCAUGAAGAGGAUGUGCUUCUAGGGCAUUUGCUGGCAGGGCGUCUCCUGAUCUCUUGGUAUUGGUGUGAGCACAGCCUGGUAGGAGAGGGCAGAUCUCAGUGCAAAGUAUGUCAAAAAGCAGAUCGAAGCCAGGCUCCCUCCUGAAAGAGGCUCCUUGAAGCAUUUUUAAAAGGCAAACUGGUUUUCUUCCUGAGAAGAAUUCAUUGAUUCACUCGUGGCCAGGACAGAGAAGAGUCCAUGAGAAUCAACAUUUUCUGAGGACUCCAACUGUGUGCCGAGAGAGAGUUCCCGUGCUGCUGCCUCCUCUGUAGUAAAGCAAAGGCUCCUAGGACCACAUUAUCAUUCUCUUCACUCGAGAGAUGAAGACACUGAAAUUCAGAGAGGGGAAGUGAUUUGCCUCAGCUUGUACUGAAAAGCAGGAAUAACAUACUACAGAAGUACAUGAGGCAGUUAAGUACCAAAUGGUUUCACUUUGUCACUCAGGCUGGAGUGCAGUGAUGUGAUCAUAGCUUUCUGCAGCCUUGACCUCCUGGGCUCAAGUGAUCCUCCCACCUCCACCUCCUUAGUAGCUAGGACCACAGGCAUGCACCAGCACACCCAGCAAAUUAAAAAAAAAUUUUUUUUUUUUUUUUUUUUUUGAGACGGAGUCUGGCUCUGUCGCCCAGGCUGGAGUGCAGUGGCACGAUCUCGGCUCACUGCAAGCUCCACCUCCCGGAUUCAUGCCAUUCUCCUGCCUCAGACUCCCGAGUAGCUGGGACUACAGGCGCCCGCCACCUCGCCCGGCUAAUUUUUUUUUGUAUUUUUAGUAGAGACGGGGUUUCACCAUGUUAGCCAGGAUGGUCUCGAUCUCCUGACCUCGUGAUCCGCCCGCCUCGGCCUCCCAAAGUGCUGGGAUUACAGGCGUGAGCCACAGCGCCCGGCCUAAAAAAAUUUUUUUAAAGAUGAGGUCUCACUAUGUUGCCCAGGCUGGUCUGAAAUUCCUGGCCUCAAGCAAUCCUCUUGCCUCAACCUCCCAAAGUGCUGAGAUUACAGGCAUGAGCUACCAUGCCUGGCCUAAAACAUUUUUAAUGGAAGUGUAAUUUGCAAACAGAAAACAUGCCCAAAUAUUAAGUGAAUGCACUGAUGAACAUUCACAACUUAACAAGAUAGCCAGCACUUAAAUCACAAAAUAGAACACCGCUAGGACCUCGUUGUAAUACCCUCCAAGUCACUACUUCUGCCCAAAGCAGAUAUUGAAAAACAGAUUUCUAAAGCGGCUGUAGCGAUUUACAUUACCACCAGCAAUGUGUGAGUUCCAUUUGCUCUCCAUCCUUGACAGCACAUGUUGUCACUUAGAAAGAAACAUUUCAACAGAGAACCCAGUGGAAAUUAUGACAUGUUAUCUUCUCAGAGUCCUGAACUCCCAUCCCUACCUCAGAAGAGAUUCCUCUGUUCACAGAAGCUAAAGGCAGUUCCUUCCCAAUGGCAACUAUGUUUGGAUGUUGGAUCUACGCUUUCUCAAGCACUAUGAUCUUCAAAUCAAAGGAGAUUUCUCCCAUUAUAUACUUCUUAUGAUCAACAAAUUCCAUCAUCUCCCCACUAAGAGAAAGUACUCCAAGAUGAUAGAAUGAUUUUAAAGUUAUGGGACUACAACAGCAUCCACAGGAACCUUGAGUAAGUACCAUGAACCCUGACCCUCAGUGUUAAUUUGUAAGCCUUUGGCAGUGAGAUGGAAUGUCUUCCUUCAGUUUGAAACAAAGGAAACCUAUUGCAUCACAGGUAAAAUUUGUAUAUUGAUGCUAUAUUGACUUUGUAGCUGCCAUGCCUUCAUAUAGACACCUCAUCCAGCCCCCACUGUUCCACUUAUUGUGAUGGUUUGUGUAUCUUUAUUUCAAAGAAGAUCUGUUUGAACAAUGUUUAAUUUGUUCUUUGACCUGCUUUCAUCACUGCCCAUGCCUACUGUGGUGGCAUUCUCAUCCACUAGAGUACCACAUCCAUGCCACUAGGUGGCAUUCUCAUCCAUGAGACUACUGCACCCGUGCACGUGUCAAGAAGUAGCCAAGCCAUGGGCUGGGUUGUGCUUUUCCUGAGAGGAUGAAAGGCUUCAUGGAUACAUGCUAGUAUCCAUGUUCCUCUAUUCCCAAGUCAGGCACCAAGAUGAUGUUUCAUACCUGCCUGCCUUUCAAAGUCUCAUAAAUGUUCAUUGAAUAUCCACUCUACGCAAGGCACUAGGGUAGUCACAGAGGCAAGCUUUGAGCUAAACUACAGGCCCUGCCCUCCAGGAGCUCCCGGUCUCAUGGCAGGGUACAGAAGCCAGAAUAGAGGGCCAUGGCAUGGGAGAGAACUCUGCCGACUGGGAGCUCUGAAGGGUUAGGGGUCCAUGAGCCUGAUUUAUGGGGCUGUUGCCAUAGGAUUAGGGGCUCCCUGGCAUACAGUGAAUGGAGAGACUAGCAUCGCUGUGUUAUUUCACUGAGAAGGCACCAGUGUUCAGCCUCUUGAGACCAGGGGAGGAAAGCAGUGGCUGUGAAUGUUCCCUCCCAUCCCGGGGACUGACUGGGCUCCUCCCACAGUCUCAGACGCAGAGGAGGAAGUGUACUGACACUGCCCCAACACCAGUGAUUGGAAAUAUUUAUAGGUCUCUCAUUUGGUUUUAAUUUUUAUUUUUUUAUUUUUCAAAAAUUAAAAAAAAAAGAAAAUCACACUCACAAAAUUAACCAUUACCCACAUUCCUAGCAACAAGAAGUAACCAUUCUUAACCUUGUAAUAUGUUGGUUUCCGGAUGUAUGUUUAUGCUUUAAAAAAUUAUGCAGACAACAUAUUAGUACAUUGCCCCUUUUCACAUUUGUUUUAAUCCAUGUUCUUCCCAUUUAUACAGGAGCAAUUCUUGCAUUCAGUUAUGGGAUACUAUAAAUGCCUAGUAUAAUGGCAGCAGAGAGGAUUACUAUGGUUGUAUACCUUUUCUCGCUCCUUGCUCCUCAAAUGCCUAGAGUUUAAAAUCUAUUGUGGAAAGUUUGUAAAAUGCAGGACGGUGAAAAUAAACACAUUACCAGUGGUUCUUUGGCUUCGGGAGAACUGUAAUUGAUGUUCAUUUUGGUAUAUUUCCCUCCAGUAUUUUUUCCAUAUUGUUUUAUUUUUAAAAAUUAUACCCUUUAUAUAUAUACAUAUAUAUACAUACUAACUACUCACAAAAUUAAAAAUUAAAAAAAUUAAAAAUGUAUAAAAUAAAAAAAUAAUUAGCCUCAUUUUGUAUUUACUAUUUUAUAAUCUGCCUUUUUGCUUAAUUUUCUU